GAUGAACGCUAGCUACAGGCUUAACACAUGCAAGUCGAGGGGCAGCAUGAAGUCAGCUUGCUGACUUUGAUGGCGACCGGCGCACGGGUGAGUAACGCGUAUCCAACCUUCCCCUUACUCAGGAAUAGCCCGUUGAAAGACGGAUUAAUGCCUGAUGUUCUCAUGUUGCCGCAUGGCGAUAUGAGCAAAGAUUCAUCGGUAAGGGAUGGGGAUGCGUAUGAUUAGCUUGUUGGCGGGGUAACGGCCCACCAAGGCAACGAUCAUUAGGGGUUCUGAGAGGAAGGUCCCCCANACUGGAACUGAGACACGGUCCAGACUCCUACGGGAGGCAGCAGUGAGGAAUAUUGGGCAAUGGGGGAAACCCUGAUGCAGCGACGCCGCGUGAGUGAAGAAGUAUUUCGGUAUGUAAAGCUCUAUCAGCAGGGAAGAAAAUGACGGUACCUGACUAAGAAGCCCCGGCUAACUACGUGCCAGCAGCCG
Molecule: ribosomal RNA, 480 nt
Filed under: uncultured bacterium
Lineage: Bacteria
Description: bacterial SSU rRNA
Rfam family: Bacterial small subunit ribosomal RNA
Source: RNAcentral